RNAcentral lists this ribosomal RNA (417 nucleotides) under Triticum aestivum (bread wheat). Its description in RNAcentral is "partial small subunit ribosomal RNA". Lineage: Eukaryota; Viridiplantae; Streptophyta; Magnoliopsida; Poales; Poaceae. The record is from RNAcentral.
AUGAAGAACUUCAUCAAAACUCAAGUUCAGUCUUGCCUGAUCUGUCAACAAGCUAAACCUGAAAGGGCACGGUACCCUGGGCUCUUAUCACCUCUUCCAGUUCCCCCCAAAGCAUGGGAUACAGCGUCUAUGGAUUUUAUCUCAGGCCUUCCCUCCUCUUAUCAGUAUAACUGCAUCUUAGUGGUCAUUGGCAAAUUUUCCAAGUAUGGUCACUUUAUGGGGCUCACACAUCCUUUUAAUGCCCAAAAAGUUGCUGAGAUCUUUUUGGACAAUGUCUAUAAGUUGCAUGGUAUGACCAGGUUGAUUAUUUGUGAUAGAGAUCUCAUUUUCACAAGUGCAUUCUGGAAGUUUCUCAUUUCCAAGACUGGUGCUGAGUUAAACAUGAGCACAACUUAUCACCCUGAGACUGACGGGUAG